This 90-nucleotide non-coding RNA is filed under the name marine eukaryotic metagenome. RNAcentral's name for it is "Pyrrolysine insertion sequence mttB". It matches the Rfam family "Pyrrolysine insertion sequence mttB". The record is from RNAcentral.
GACCGAUUCCAAGAUUCCAGAUGCCCAAUAUGGCUAUGAGAAAGGAUUAACGAUCGCACUUGCAGCGCUGUCGGGAGCGAAUCGUGUCUG